RNAcentral lists this ribosomal RNA (253 nucleotides) under uncultured bacterium. Its description in RNAcentral is "partial 16S ribosomal RNA". It matches the Rfam family "Bacterial small subunit ribosomal RNA", at positions 524 to 776 of the family's 1533-position model. The record is from RNAcentral.
UACGGAGGGGGCUAGCGUUGUUCGGAAUUACUGGGCGUAAAGCGUGCGCAGGCGGUUAUGCAAGACAGAUGUGAAAUCCCCGGGCUUAACCUGGGAACUGCAUUUGUGACUGCAUAGCUGGAGUACGGUAGAGGGGGAUGGAAUUCCGCGUGUAGCAGUGAAAUGCGUAGAUAUGCGGAGGAACACCGAUGGCGAAGGCAGUCCCCUGGACCUGUACUGACGCUCAUGCACGAAAGCGUGGGGAGCAAACAGG